UAUGCAUCUCAUCUGCGCAUCC
Molecule: microRNA, 22 nt
Filed under: Lingula anatina
Lineage: Eukaryota; Metazoa; Brachiopoda; Lingulata; Lingulida; Lingulidae
Description: Lan-Mir-242_3p* (star (passenger))
Source: RNAcentral